Long non-coding RNA from Episyrphus balteatus (marmalade hoverfly), 3213 nucleotides. RefSeq lists it as uncharacterized. NCBI's taxonomy places the organism in Eukaryota, Metazoa, Arthropoda, Insecta, Diptera, Syrphidae. The transcript is spliced from 3 exons. The record is from RefSeq and is a predicted model, not a curated record.
UGGAGAUUUUCACCACACCAAUACAUAUGCAAUCGACUUCGCGGUGAUUAUAAUUUCCAUACUAAUUUGAGCCGCCUUCGGACCAGUUUCUGAUCCGAAGUCGGACUCAGCUCCGCCUCAGGCGGAGCGGAUUCGGACCGAGGUCGGACCUGUUUGCUUGAAGGGAGAAAAUAUACCUGUUUUUGUUCUAUUUGUCUUGAUUGAAAUAAAAACCGUUUUGUUUAAAAGAUUUCAAAAGAAUCUAAAUAUAAAACACUUUAUUUAACUUUUCUUAAGAAAACAAAAAUUAUGUGGAAAGUUCGAGAGCAUAAAAAGAAAAUAGUUCGUUGGCGUUACAAAAAGGAAUGAAUUUUGAAUUUGAGUUGUAUCUUUUCGUUGAUGUGCGGCGCCAGCAUAGAUACAGAGUCGCCACAAUCACUCCCCCCUGAGUGGCUUUGGAGCUGGAAGUUGAAAAGACACGGUCCGUCUUUGUUGGUACGUUUGUUGUGGCGGAUCCAUGCUGGAAUCCCAAUGAUGCGAUGGAAUUUGUUGUAAAGUUGAUUCUUGUGAUGUGUUAUCUGCUUGAUCUUCGUCAGAUUUAUUUGUGUAACACAGUUUUAACCUUUCGAUUGAAACACUUUUUUCUUGAUUAUUGAUAUUUAAUUUGUAGAUGCGGUCUGAUGUUCAUUCGAUGAUUCUGUAAGGACCUUGAUACGGAGGUUUUAAUGGUGCUUUAAGAUGGUCGCAGCGCAACCAAACGUGGGUGCAGGUGUUGAGAUCUUUAAAAACAAAGAUUCUUGCUUUGUUGUGAUGAGCAGUAGGUGUUGGCCGAAUUCCACGCAUGAAUUUACGAUGUUUUUCAAUGAAGAAUGCUGGAUCUGAUGGAAAAUCUGAUGAAACGAAAAACUCUCCGGGUAUUCUGAGGCAUGUCCCAUAAAGCAUUUCUGCCGGAGUGGCUUGAAUAUCCUCCUUAAAUGAAGUUCUAAGUCCAAGCAAAACUGUUGGCAAUACUUCAGUCCAAGGUUUUGGAGAACACAUGAGUGCUGCUUUCAAUGCUCUGUGCAUUCUUUCGACUAUACCGUUGGACUGAGGAUGGUAGGGUGUAGUUCUUGUUUUCUUUGUUCGUACAAGGUUGGUGAGAGCAUUAAAGAGCUGAUUCGAACUGAGAGCCUUGAUCUGAUGUUAUUGUAACAGGUGAUCCGUAAUGUGCAAUCCAGUGAUUGAAUAAGGUUGUUGCGACUGUGUCUGCGGUCAUGUCUUUUAUCGGAACAGCUACUGGCCAUCUUGAAAAACGAUCUAUCAUAGUUAGGCAGUAUUGAUAACCUUGAACCAUGGGUAAAAAGAUGAUGUCAAUGUGUAGAUGGUUAAAUCUCGAGUCUGGGACUGUGAUGUGAUCGGGUUGGAGUUUGUUAUGACGGUGCACUUUGGCUCUUUGACAUGCUAUGCAAUCUCGGGACCAUUGUAAUACGUCUUUUCGAAUUCCGGGCCAAGUAAAUUUUUGUCGCAGAAGUCGUGAAGUUGUUCUGCCACUAGGGUGUGAGGUGUUAUGAAUGGUUUCGAAUGCUGUUCUUCGUAGUGACUUUGGAAUAUAUGGUCUGACAAUUCCUAAUGAUAUAUCAGAAUAUAUGUGGAUACCUGGUUCAGCUUGUAGUUUUUGUAGAUGCAGUGAUGUUGGAUUUUUAAGUAGCUCUUGUAGGUGGACAUCUUUUUGUUGUUCGUCACGUAUGUUCUCUUAAAAUGGUUGGCAUGGCUAUGGUGCUUACUCGAGAGAGCGCGUCUGCAACAAUGUUAUCAUCACCUUUUAGAUAGACUAUCAGGGCUAUUCUGGAGUUGUGAUGCUCACAAGUCACAAUUUUUUGUGAGGUUAUUUUUGUGAGGUUUGUUAUGAGGUUGUCACAAUUUGGUAUUCUGCGGAAAACCUCAUAAGAAACCUCACAACGAAUUCACCACUAUAGAGGUGAGUUUCUUUUUUGACAGCCAGCUGAUUUGUCAAACAAAUUAAAAAUUUUAAUUGAAAAAAGUUUUUUUAUCUUGUCUAUUGUUAAUUUUUAAAAAAAUCGUCAGAGAAGUGAAUAUUGACUUCUUAAAAAUCAUCCUAGCAACACAUACGUCCAAUUCCAAAGAAGAAAAAAUGCUAAGAUACUCUCAAAUCUCAAUCUUUAUCAUGUAAGAUGUAAGUGGUAGCAAAGUGGAAAGAUUUGUGUGAAGUGAAAACCCACAUACGGAAUGAAACAAGCCAAGACAAUCAAGAACUACGUUCAUAUCGAUCUUCAAGUAAUGAAAAGCCCGAUGACAUCGUCAAGGAAGGAGGACCCAGGACGUGAGGAGAAAGGCCAAGAGUGUAAAAAAACAGUUAAUAGGUUUCACAAACGGUGGAGUUAUGGAUGCAGAUUCAAGGAAUGAAAACAACGUUUUUAUUUCUUCUCGGUUUAUUCGAGUGACUUCGAUGAAAACCGACCGAAUUUGAAAAAUUUAAUGACAAUGGGAGUCAUCGAUGAUCGUCGAUUGCCAUCAACUUGUUUGUGUCCAGGAAGCAACGAAAUCCUCGGUUUCAAUUCUAGCCAGCGAAAGAGCUUCUUGAACUCAGUUAAACUCACAAUGAUUAGUGAGAGAAGUGGGUGGAAGUGUCAAACAAAUGCUACAACAUAAAAAGACCGAAGAGGGCUUAGAGGUUUUCGACUGGGAAAUCAUGUUUAUCAUUGUCGACGGUUUCUUCACAGAACAGCACACACUCUGAAUAAAAGGAGAAAAGGCUGCCGUGCCUGGCAAGCGGCUGAUUUGUCUGUAGAAGUGCAAUACUUUCUCAUGUUUACAAUGCCAGGAGGCAUCGUUAGAAGGCAUCAUUGAAAGAUCAAAAUUAAUUUGUGAAUAAAUUAUUAUUACAUAUUAUUAACUAAUCUUAAAAAACCAUAACAGUUUAAACAUAAAACCACAAAUACAAUUGUAAAAUAAAACAUCAACCAAUUAAAUUUAUUAUAAACUAAAUGGCAAAUACACAAAAAAUAUUAAAGAUCCAUAAGAAUGAUUUAUUAAAAAGUUUUAGUCAAAUUUAAUCACUAAAUUAAAUUAAACAACUAAGUGGCGUCUAUGAAGUAACCUGCACCAACUGCAACCAAAAAUAUAUAGGUCAAACAAGAAGAGCAUUACAAACUAGGUUCAAUGAACAUCUUCGUGCAGUAAAAUGUAAGAAACUUGAGAAUGCAAUCGCCUCCCACGCAUAUGAUGUUAACCACG